AUUGAACGCUGGCGGCAUGCCUUACACAUGCAAGUCGAACGGCAGCACGGGAGCAAUCCUGGUGGCGAGUGGCGAACGGGUGAGUAAUGUAUCGGAACGUACCUUACAGUGGGGGAUAACGUAGCGAAAGUUACGCUAAUACCGCAUAUUCUCUGAGGAGGAAAGCAGGGGACCUUAGGGCCUUGCGCUGUUAGAGCGGCCGAUAUCAGAUUAGCUAGUUGGUGGGGUAAAAGCUCACCAAGGCGACGAUCUGUAGCGGGUCUGAGAGGAUGAUCCGCCACACUGGAACUGAGACACGGUCCAGACUCCUACGGGAGGCAGCAGUGGGGAAUUUUGGACAAUGGGCGCAAGCCUGAUCCAGCCAUGCCGCGUGAGUGAAGAAGGCCUUCGGGUUGUAAAGCUCUUUCGGCCGGGAAGAAAUCGCAUUGGUUAAUACCUGGUGUGGAUGACGGUACCGGAAUAAGAAGCACCGGCUAACUACGUGCCAGCAGCCGCGGUAAUACGUAGGGUGCGAGCGUUAAUCGGAAUUACUGGGCGUAAAGCGUGCGCAGGCGGUUUUGUAAGACAGGCGUGAAAUCCCCGGGCUCAACCUGGGAACUGCGCUUGUGACUGCAAGGCUAGAGUACGGCAGAGGGGGGUGGAAUUCCACGUGUAGCAGUGAAAUGCGUAGAGAUGUGGAGGAACACCAAUGGCGAAGGCAGCCCCCUGGGUCGAUACUGACGCUCAUGCACGAAAGCGUGGGUAGCAAACA
RNAcentral lists this ribosomal RNA (751 nucleotides) under uncultured Dechloromonas sp. RNAcentral describes it as "bacterial SSU rRNA". It matches the Rfam family "Bacterial small subunit ribosomal RNA", at positions 28 to 774 of the family's 1533-position model. Lineage: Bacteria; Pseudomonadati; Pseudomonadota; Betaproteobacteria; Rhodocyclales; Azonexaceae. The record is from RNAcentral.